CUACGUGCCAGCAGCCCCGAUAAUACGUCGGGGGCCAGCGUUAUCCGGAAUUACUGAGCGUAAAGGGUUUUUAUGUGGUUUAAUGAGUCCGAUGUGAAAGCCCACGGCUCAACCGUGGUACGCAUUUCAAACCGAUAAACUUGACUUAAAGACAGGAAAGUGGAAUUCCAAAUGUAACGGGUAAAUGCGUUAAUCUUAGGAAGAAUACCCUUGGCGAAAGCCAGUUUCCGGACUUAUACUGACACCGGAGAACUAAAACCUGGGGAGCCAAAAAGAUUAAAAACCCCGGUAGUCCCCCCCCUAAAAGAUUAGUGCUUCGUGGUGGGGG
This 328-nucleotide ribosomal RNA is filed under the name uncultured bacterium. Its description in RNAcentral is "partial 16S ribosomal RNA". It matches the Rfam family "Bacterial small subunit ribosomal RNA", at positions 501 to 829 of the family's 1533-position model. The record is from RNAcentral.